CUGCCCCACAAUGCAGUGCCC
Molecule: unclassified non-coding RNA, 21 nt
Filed under: Mus musculus (house mouse)
Lineage: Eukaryota; Metazoa; Chordata; Mammalia; Rodentia; Muridae
Description: oocyte_clustered_small_RNA13703
Source: RNAcentral